AUUUGAAAUCUCCGGUGCUUGCACCGGCGAGUUGUAGUUGCGAGAAGCACUUUCUAGGCGGAUCGGUGGUGCCUAAGUUGCUUGGAACAGCAUGUCGCAGAGGGUGACAACCCCGUCUGUGGCGCGACCGGCCGCUGACGAUGUGCUUUCGAAGAGUCGGGUUGUUUGGGAAUGCAGCCCAAAAUGGGUGGUAAACUCCAUCUAAAGCUAAAUACUGGCGUGAGACCGAUAGCGAACAAGUACCGUGAGGGAAAGAUGAAAAGAACUUUGAAAAGAGAGUUAAAAAGUACGUGAAACCGUUGAAAGGGAAACGAAUGGACUCAGCAAUGCGCCGUUUGAGAUUCAGCCGGUGGGCGGGAUCGGCGUGGGGUUUGCGGAUCUGAAUGGACCGCGGCUUCUCGCUCGUUUCUCCUCGCCGUCGCACUUCUCUUGGGCGCGCGUCAACGUCGGUUGGGACUGGGUCUGAAAGGUACCGGGAAGGUAGGUCUGGACCUUCGGGUUGGGACUGUUACAGCCCGGUUCUCUCAUGGCUCGGGCCUGACCGAGGAGUCGCAGCGCAUGCCUCUUGUGGCUAGGGUGCCGUCCUUCCGGCCGGUUGUCGAACGUGGUGGACUGCUUGCAGUGCUCCGCGACUGCUGCCGGUCGUUGGGGUGGUGAUCU
RNAcentral lists this ribosomal RNA (660 nucleotides) under Cladocora caespitosa. Its description in RNAcentral is "eukaryotic LSU rRNA". It matches the Rfam family "Eukaryotic large subunit ribosomal RNA", at positions 113 to 634 of the family's 3401-position model. Lineage: Eukaryota; Metazoa; Cnidaria; Anthozoa; Scleractinia; Cladocoridae. The record is from RNAcentral.